RNAcentral lists this ribosomal RNA (490 nucleotides) under uncultured bacterium. RNAcentral describes it as "partial 16S ribosomal RNA". It matches the Rfam family "Bacterial small subunit ribosomal RNA", at positions 30 to 507 of the family's 1533-position model. The record is from RNAcentral.
AUUGAACGCUGGCGGCAGGCCUAACACAUGCAAGUCGAACGGUAACAGGAAGAAGCUUGCUUCUUUGCUGACGAGUGGCGGACGGGUGAGUCAUGUCUGGGAAACUGCCUGAUGGAGGGGGAUAACUACUGGAAACGGUAGCUAAUACCGCAUAAUGUCGCAAGACCAAAGAGGGGGACCUUCGGGCCUCUUGCCAUCGGCUGUGCCCAGAUGGGAUUAGCUAGUAGGUGGGGUAACGGCUCACCUAGGCGACGAUCCCUAGCUGGUCUGAGAGGAUGACCGGCCACACUGGAACUGAGACACGGUCCAGACUCCUACGGGAGGCAGCAGUGGGGAAUCUUGCACAAUGGGCGAAAGCCUGAUGCAGCUAUGCCGCGUGUAUGAAGAAGGCCUUCGGGUUGUAAAGUACUUUCAGCGGGGAGGAAGGGAGUAGUGUUAAUACCUUUGCUCAUUGACGUUACCCGCAGAAGAAGCACCGGCUAACUACGUG